Molecule: unclassified non-coding RNA, 329 nt
Filed under: soil metagenome
Description: partial contains 5.8S ribosomal RNA, internal transcribed spacer 2, and large subunit ribosomal RNA
Rfam family: 5.8S ribosomal RNA (bases 1-120)
Source: RNAcentral
GAUGAAGAACGUAGCGAAAUGCGAUAAGUAAUGUGAGUUGCAGAAUUCAGUGAAUCAUCGAAUCUUUGAACGCACAUUGCGCCCCUUGGUAUUCCGAGGGGCAUGCCUGUUCGAGCGUCAUUAUAACCCCUCAAGCUCAGCUUGGUGUUGGGGCCUGCUGCACUGGCAGCCCUUAAAGUCAGUGGCGGCGCCAUCUGGCUCUAAGCGUAGUAAUUCUUCUCGCUAUGGAGUCCUGGUGGAUGCUUGCCAUCAACCCCCAAUUUUUCUAUGGUUGACCUCGGAUCAGGUAGGGAUACCCGCUGAACUUAAGCAUAUCAAUAAGCGGAGGA